CUUCGAUGGAUAGGGGUUCUGAGAGGAAGGUCCCCCACAUUGGAACUGAGACACGGUCCAAACUCCUACGGGAGGCAGCAGUGAGGAAUAUUGGUCAAUGGACGAGAGUCUGAACCAGCCAAGUAGCGUGAAGGAUGAAGGUUCUAUGGAUUGUAAACUUCUUUUAUACGGGAAUAAACGGAUCCACGUGUGGAUUUUUGCAUGUACCGUAUGAAUAAGGAUCGGCUAACUCCGUGCCAGCAGCCGCGGUAAUACGGAGGAUCCGAGCGUUAUCCGGAUUUAUUGGGUUUAAAGGGUGCGUAGGCGGCCUUUUAAGUCAGCGGUGAAAGUCUGUGGCUCAACCAUAGAAUUGCCGUUGAAACUGGGGGGCUUGAGUAUGUUUGAGGCAGGCGGAAUGCGUGGUGUAGCGGUGAAAUGCAUAGAUAUCACGCAGAACCCCGAUUGCGAAGGC
Molecule: ribosomal RNA, 451 nt
Filed under: uncultured bacterium
Lineage: Bacteria
Description: bacterial SSU rRNA
Rfam family: Bacterial small subunit ribosomal RNA
Source: RNAcentral